UACGUAGGGUGCAAGCGUUAAUCGGAAUUACUGGGCGUAAAGCGUGCGCAGGCGGUUUUGUAAGUCUGACGUGAAAUCCCCGGGCUCAACCUGGGAAUUGCGUUGGAGACUGCAAGGCUAGAAUCUGGCAGAGGGGGUAGAAUUCCACGUGUAGCAGUGAAAUGCGUAGAGAUGUGGAGGAACACCGAUGGCGAAGGCAGCCCCUGGGUCAAGAUUGACGCUCAUGCACGAAAGCGUGGGGAGCAAACAGG
Molecule: ribosomal RNA, 251 nt
Filed under: uncultured bacterium
Lineage: Bacteria
Description: partial 16S ribosomal RNA
Rfam family: Bacterial small subunit ribosomal RNA
Source: RNAcentral